RNAcentral lists this ribosomal RNA (301 nucleotides) under uncultured bacterium. RNAcentral's name for it is "partial 16S ribosomal RNA". It matches the Rfam family "Bacterial small subunit ribosomal RNA", at positions 509 to 807 of the family's 1533-position model. The record is from RNAcentral.
CAGUAGCCACGGUAAUACGAAGGGCGCAAGCGUUACUCGGAAUUACUGGGCGUAAAGCGUGCGUAGGUGGUGGUUUAAGUCCGUUGUGAAAGCCCUGGGCUCAACCUGGGAAUUGCAGUGGAUACUGGCUCGCUAGAGUGUGUCAGAGGAUGGUGGAAUUCCCGGUGUAGCGGUGAAAUGCGUAGAGAUCGGGAGGAACAUCAGUGGCGAAGGCGGCCAUCUGGGACAACACUGACGCUGAGGCACGAAAGCGUGGGGAGCAAACAGGAUUAGAUACCCCCGUAGUCCCUGUCUCUUAUAC